GCGGAUGUGGUGGAACUGGUAGACACGCUAGAUUCAGGUUCUAGUGCUCGCAAGGGCAUGAAGGUUCAAGUCCUUUCAUCCGCACUG
This 87-nucleotide transfer RNA is filed under the name Fibrobacter succinogenes subsp. succinogenes S85. RNAcentral's name for it is "tRNA-Leu". It matches the Rfam family "tRNA". Rfam says of the family: Transfer RNA (tRNA) molecules are approximately 80 nucleotides in length. The record is from RNAcentral. Lineage: Bacteria; Pseudomonadati; Fibrobacterota; Fibrobacteria; Fibrobacterales; Fibrobacteraceae.